GACGAACGCUGGCGGCGUGCCUAAUACAUGCAAGUCGAGCGAAGUUUUUCUGGUGCUUGCACUAGAAAAACUUAGCGGCGAACGGGUGAGUAACACGUAAAGAACCUGCCUCAUAGACUGGGACAACUAUUGGAAACGAUAGCUAAUAUCGGAUAACAGUAUUUCUCGCAUGAGAGAUAUUUAAAAGUUGGUUAUGCCAACACUAUGAGAUGGCUUUGCGGUGCAUUAGCUAGUUGGUGGGGUAAAGGCCCACCAAGGCGACGAUGCAUAGCCGACCUGAGAGGGUGAUCGGCCACACUGGGACUGAGACACGGCCCAGACUCCUACGGGAGGCAGCAGUAGGGAAUCUUCCGCAAUGGGCGAAAGCCUGACGGAGCAACGCCGCGUGAGUGAAGAAGGAUUUCGGUUCGUAAAGCUCUGUUGUUAGGGAAGAAUGGAUAUGUAGUAACUAUACAUGUAAGAGACGGUACCUAACCAGAAAGCCACGGCUAACUACGUG
RNAcentral lists this ribosomal RNA (499 nucleotides) under uncultured bacterium. RNAcentral's name for it is "partial 16S ribosomal RNA". It matches the Rfam family "Bacterial small subunit ribosomal RNA", at positions 28 to 507 of the family's 1533-position model. The record is from RNAcentral.